GACAGAGGGUGCAAACGUUGCUCGGAAUCACUGGGCGUAAAGGGCGUGUGGGCGGGAAGAUAAGUCGGACGUGAAAUCCCCAGGCUCAACCUGGGAACUGCACUCGAAACUGUUUUUCUUGAGUGCCGGAGAGGAAAGCGGAAUUCCUGGUGUAGAGGUGAAAUUCGUAGAUAUCAGGAGGAACACCAGUGGCGAAGGCGGCUUUCUGGGCGGUAACUGACGCUGAGACGCGAAAGCGUGGGGAGCAAACAGG
RNAcentral lists this ribosomal RNA (253 nucleotides) under uncultured bacterium. RNAcentral describes it as "partial 16S ribosomal RNA". It matches the Rfam family "Bacterial small subunit ribosomal RNA", at positions 524 to 776 of the family's 1533-position model. The record is from RNAcentral.